RNAcentral lists this ribosomal RNA (525 nucleotides) under Pelopidas mathias (small branded swift). RNAcentral's name for it is "partial 16S ribosomal RNA". The stretch from base 390 to 525 matches the Rfam family "Bacterial large subunit ribosomal RNA", at positions 2473 to 2609 of the family's 2925-position model. The record is from RNAcentral. Lineage: Eukaryota; Metazoa; Arthropoda; Insecta; Lepidoptera; Hesperiidae.
AUGUNUUUUUGAUGAUAAUUUAAAGUCGAAUCUGCCCACUGAUUAAUAAUUAAAGGGCUGCAGUAUAUUGACUGUACAAAGGUAGCAUAAUAAUUAGUCUUUUAAUUGAAGACUUGUAUGAAAGAUUUGAUGAGAUAUAAACUGUCUCUUUUUUAAAAUUAAAAUUUAAUUUUUUAGUAAAAAAGCUAAAAUAAAUUUAAAAGACGAGAAGACCCUAUAGAGUUUUAUAAUUGAAUUAUUUAAAAAUUUAUUUUUAAUUUAAAAAAUAAUUAGUUUAAUUAUUUUAUUGGGGUGAUAAAAAAAUUAAAAUAACUUUUUUUUUUAUUUUAAACAUUAAUUAAUGAAUAAUUGAUCCAUAAUUUAUGAUUAUAAGAAAAAAUUACCUUAGGGAUAACAGCGUAAUUUUUUUUUUUAGUUCUUAUAAGAAAAAAAGUUUGCGACCUCGAUGUUGGAUUAAGAUAAAAUUUAAAUGCAGAAGUUUAAAGUUUUGAUCUGUUCGAUCAUUAAAAUCUUACAUGAUCUGAG